GAUGAAGAACGCAGCGAAAUGCGAUAAGUAAUGUGAAUUGCAGAAUUCCGUGAAUCAUCGAAUCUUUGAACGCACAUUGCGCCCCUUGGUAUUCCAUGGGGCAUGCCUGUUCGAGCGUCAUUUGUACCUUCAAGCUCUGCUUGGUGUUGGGUGUUUGUCUCGCCUUGCGCGUAGACUCGCCUUAAAACAAUUGGCAGCCGGCGUAUUGAUUUCGGAGCGCAGUACAUCUCGCGCUUUGCACUCAUAACGACGACGUCCAAAAGUACUUUUUACACUCUUGACCUCGGAUCAGGUAGGGAUACCCGCUGAACUUAAGCAUAUCAAUAAGCGGAGGA
This 335-nucleotide unclassified non-coding RNA is filed under the name soil metagenome. Its description in RNAcentral is "partial contains 5.8S ribosomal RNA, internal transcribed spacer 2, and large subunit ribosomal RNA". The stretch from base 1 to 120 matches the Rfam family "5.8S ribosomal RNA", at positions 35 to 154 of the family's 154-position model. The record is from RNAcentral.